This 310-nucleotide ribosomal RNA is filed under the name Rhizophagus irregularis. Lineage: Eukaryota; Fungi; Glomeromycota; Glomeromycetes; Glomerales; Glomeraceae. The record is from RNAcentral.
CAGUCGUACCUUCGGGUAAUCAGCCUUUCGGGUGCGAUUCUGUGGGGUUUGAGGAGCUUAACACCUUCAUGCUUUUGCAUAUUCGUGCUCUUGGGUGUACUUGCCCGUGUGGUUGGUUAACAUCAAUUUCGGGCACCAUAAAAUGGCUGGAGGAAUGUAGCUUCGAUCUUGUAUUGAAGUGUUAUAGCCUUCGGUAGAUGUGGUGAUCGAGAUUGAGGAUUGCAACGGAUACCUUUCGGGGGCUACCUGUCUGAUCUCUGAUCGUUGCUUUGGUGCUUGAAAGCGUGCUAGCGGACGCGGGAGCGGCGGU